Dermochelys coriacea (leatherback sea turtle) is the source of this 2501-nucleotide long non-coding RNA. RefSeq lists it as uncharacterized. The transcript is spliced from 4 exons. Lineage: Eukaryota; Metazoa; Chordata; Testudines; Dermochelyidae. The record is from RefSeq and is a predicted model, not a curated record.
UAGAGGGUAUGAUGGCCCUUUAAGGGAGUUGGACUCAGCCCCAUCUCUUUCAUGUUAGUUACCUCCCCAGCUGAGAGGCUUCCAGGCAGAUAAAGAAGUCUGCUCCUUAGGGAGAAAGACCUACAAUAAGCAGGACAAUUCUUGCAGGGGACCCAGAAGAGACUAGGGAAGAUGUCUCAACUCCAGCCAGAAGGAAGGAUCUGGCAGAAGCAGCCCGCAGGGAGGGACACGAGUAGAAGCUGUAAGAGGAAGAGGCUUGAAAAAAGCAGCAGGAGUUGGGUUUUGACAAAGAACUGCUGAGCCCAGCAAGGGGCUGUGAAACUGGUAGUCAGGGAGAGGCUUGUUUUGAACAGUGGCAAGGGAGUUCCAAGCAAGAGAUUUUAUUCCUGUUGAGAAUGACCCAAAAGGAACAAGGCUCUGGAGCUGAGUAUCAAUACUAAGUAGAUAGCUACAUGAUGUGAAGUGAGCUUGUGAACUAGAUGGAUGCAGGGCUCUUUCCGUGAAAACAGGAUUUUUUUCUGUAGCUGACUCUCUUCUCCGGCUGCUGGUUCUUCACCUGCAGUAGCCUGGAAAGGUUGAGAGCCACUGUCCUAGACAACACUGCCACUCUCUAAAGCCAAGUGGCACGCUCCAUAAAAUGCUUCUCCAGACACACCACCAAUCCUUCCCGCCUAAAUUAACCGACCUGAAGACAGGAAGAGCGCACUUCACCCAGGGGCGAACCCAGCGCGCAGCAUUGAGAGCGGAAGAUUAGACACAGACCAACCCAGGGAAGGGCCACGGGCCACUAGACAGCGCCGCAGAGAGAGGGCACCGGGCAAGGGCCCACAGGACCAAGCUGCUGACCUUCGUGACAGAGUGAAAUCCACAGGAGGUGAAAGCUCCUGGCCAGGAGUGGGAGAUCCUGUCCCGUCUCCCCAUGAAGCUUGGAGUUCACAGCCCCGAAUGGCACCCUUCGAGUUUGUCAGUCUCUGCCAGCGUGCUCAGUGCUGUUAUGAACAAAGGGGGACACAGGCCCUGUCCCGUGGGUGAUGCCCCACAUAACAGGCUCAACUAAAGAGAUGAGCCCCAGAGGUGGCUGUGACAAAUUAACCAUUAGACCUAUGCAAGCAGCUGGGCUCCUCUGGCUAGUCUAUCUAGCUAUAUAGCAUGUCAGGCUCCCCCAUGCUCUGCUCAGACCUGCACUGUGGCAUUAUGGGGUCACUCCUGCUUUACUUCUUCCAUGUGCUGAGACUUCCCCACACCCAUGGGCAGCAGUAUCGCCACCAUGUACACCAUACACACGCUUUAGACACGGAUGGCCUGGUGUUCCUUAGCUUUCUGUAGAGAACAUAAAGGUGCACACAAGGGUGUGCAUCUGGAAUUGGGGCAAAUUCCCAACAUGGACAAGGCCAAAGUGGAGGAAAGUAGGCACUGUGCUGGGGAAGGGAGAGGAAUCCCUAGUUCCUGAUCUUGUUGCAGCUGCUUCUAUACACAGGCAGCAAAGAAGAGCUGAGUUAGACUUGCUAUAGCUGCUUCCCAAUGUGAGUGAAGAUACUACAGUACUUUCAGAGUCGAUCAUUACAGAGGCUGCUGGCAACCCACUACCACUGCAGGGCUGAUGAGAACUCUUGCCACCACUCUCGGAGUAAAGGGGGUGGAUCUUUUGCUCUGUAUGCCCUUCCUUUUAUAGUGAAACUCCACUUUAAAGUGCUUUUGUGUGGGGGGGGGGGACCCAAACCCUUUUUGAGAGUUACACUGUUUAGAAACUUCAUCCCCGUGCUGAUGUCAGUCUGAAUAAAUACCUCCCUCAUUAGAUUAAACUGGUAGUCUUUGCAAAACCUCAGGCUAAGCAUUUGUGAAGACCACAAGGAUCUGAUGUUGGGAGGGGUGAGCUUGUAAAAAUGAUGGGGAUGGAGUUCCAACAGGAAAAUAUGAUGCAAUGCAAUUCAGCAAUACACCACACAAUGUGGUCACUUUCCAUUUAAGUAUGCCUGUGCUGCAUGUCCAUAAUUACUACACAUUUGAUUGAUCUCUCAGUCCCUUUUUCUCAUUUCUCUCUUUCUGUUUCUCAAACUGCCUCUUCAUCUGCCUGGCUAUUCAUAGGUCUUGUUCUUGGUUUUUAGGAACUAAUUUACAGUGGCAAGAUUUCACACCACCUUAACUCACAAAUUUUGAUUAAGGAUGUGUGGUUUACAGACAAAAGAACGAUCAUGACCCUCUCACCAAUUAAAAAUGACUGGGAAAUUCUGCAUGUGCUGUGUGUUUCUUCCUGUACUAUAUUGCCUCAAAAGAGUAUCUGCCAUUUUGCACUGUGUGGAAUCUCAAUCAAGAUGCAUUAAAAUAACUUUUUGCUGCAGUAAGCAGAGUUGUGACUUCAGGUGGAACAUAUGUUGGGCUCUUCACUUUGAACUCAACCUCUUGAUGAAAUUAACAAUUCAUAUCUACUGGCUGGAGCAUCCAAAAAGUCUUGCCUUUGAUAUUGUCUCCUUUCACAGGCCUGACGUGCUGCCUUUUGUCCA